GGAAGGGUGGCAGAGCGGUUGAAUGCAGCGGUCUUGAAAACCGCCGUAGGUUAAUAGCCUACCCAGGGUUCGAAUCCCUGCCCUUCCGCCA
RNAcentral lists this transfer RNA (91 nucleotides) under Marinimicrobium koreense. RNAcentral describes it as "tRNA-Ser". It matches the Rfam family "tRNA". From Rfam's summary of the family: Transfer RNA (tRNA) molecules are approximately 80 nucleotides in length. Their secondary structure includes four short double-helical elements and three loops (D, anti-codon, and T loops). Further hydrogen bonds mediate the characteristic L-shaped molecular structure. tRNAs have two regions of fundamental functional importance: the anti-codon, which is responsible for specific mRNA codon recognition, and the 3' end, to which the tRNAs corresponding amino acid is attached (by aminoacyl-tRNA synthetases). tRNAs cope with the degeneracy of the genetic code in two manners: having more than one tRNA (with a specific anti-codon) for a particular amino acid; and 'wobble' base-pairing, i.e. permitting non-standard base-pairing at the 3rd anti-codon position. The record is from RNAcentral. RNAcentral also lists the same sequence under 4 other names. Lineage: Bacteria; Pseudomonadati; Pseudomonadota; Gammaproteobacteria; Cellvibrionales; Cellvibrionaceae.